UACGUAUGGAGCGAGCGUUAUCCGGAUUCAUUGGGCGUAAAGCGCGCGCAGGCGGCUCGUUAAGUCGGGUGUCAAAGCCCGGGGCUCAACCCCGGCCCGCACCCGAUACUGGCGGGCUCGAGUUCGGUAGAGGAGGGUGGAAUUCCCAGUGUAGCGGUGAAAUGCGCAGAUAUUGGGAGGAACACCGAUGGCGAAGGCAGCCCUCUGGGCCGCAACUGACGCUGAGGCGCGAAAGCUGGGGGAGC
Molecule: ribosomal RNA, 245 nt
Filed under: uncultured Coriobacteriaceae bacterium
Lineage: Bacteria; Bacillati; Actinomycetota; Coriobacteriia; Coriobacteriales; Coriobacteriaceae
Description: partial 16S ribosomal RNA
Rfam family: Bacterial small subunit ribosomal RNA
Source: RNAcentral